This 267-nucleotide ribosomal RNA is filed under the name uncultured bacterium. Its description in RNAcentral is "partial 16S ribosomal RNA". It matches the Rfam family "Bacterial small subunit ribosomal RNA", at positions 57 to 305 of the family's 1533-position model. The record is from RNAcentral.
GCAAGUCGUGCGAGAAAGGUCCCUUCGGGGGCUGAGUAAAGCGACGCACGGGUGAGUAACACGUGGAUAAUCUAUCCUUCGGACGGGGGACAACCUCGGGAAACCGGGGCUAAUACCGUGUAAGACCUUCGACUCUUCGGGGUUGAAGGUGAUAGGGGGCCUCUCCUUGGAAGCUCUCGACGAAGGCGGAGUCCGCGGCCCAUCAGCUUGUUGGUGGGGUAACGGCCUACCAAGGCAACGACGGGUAGCUGGUCUGAGAGGAUGAUC